Molecule: ribosomal RNA, 393 nt
Filed under: uncultured bacterium
Lineage: Bacteria
Description: partial 16S ribosomal RNA
Rfam family: Bacterial small subunit ribosomal RNA
Source: RNAcentral
AUACGGAGGAUGCGAGCGUUAUCCGGAUUUAUUGGGUUUAAAGGGUGCGUAGGCGGCCUUGUAAGUCAGCGGUGAAAUUUUGCAGCUUAACUGUAAAAGUGCCGUUGAUACUGUGAGGCUAGGAUUUGGUUGCUGUGGGUGGAAUGUGUGGUGUAGCGGUGAAAUGCUUAGAGAUCGCACAGAAUAUCGAUUGCGAAGGCAGCGCACAAAGCCAAGAUUGACGCUGAGGCACGUAAGUGUGGGGAUCAAACAGGAUUAGAUACCCUGGUAGUCCACACUGUAAACGAUGAUAACUCGCUGUCGGCGAUAUACAGUCGGUGGCCAAGCGAAAGCGAUAAGUUAUCCACCUGGGGAGUACGACCGCAAGGUUGAAACUCAAAUGAAUUGACGGGG